GAUGAACGCUGGCGGCGUGCCUAAUACAUGCAAGUCGAGCGAACGGACGAGAAGCUUGCUUCUCUGAUGUUAGCGGCGGACGGGUGAGUAACACGUGGAUAACCUACCUAUAAGACUGGGAUAACUUCGGGAAACCGGAGCUAAUACCGGAUAAUAUUUUGAACCGCAUGGUUCAAUAGUGAAAGACGGUCUUGCUGUCACUUAUAGAUGGAUCCGCGCUGCAUUAGCUAGUUGGUAAGGUAACGGCUUACCAAGGCAACGAUGCGUAGCCGACCUGAGAGGGUGAUCGGCCACACUGGAACUGAGACACGGUCCAGACUCCUACGGGAGGCAGCAGUAGGGAAUCUUCCGCAAAGGGCGAAAGCCUGACGGAGCAACGCCGCGUGAGUGAUGAAGGUCUUCGGAUCGUAAAACUCUGUUAUUAGGGAAGAACAUAUGUGUAAGUAACUGUGCACAUCUUGACGGUACCUAAUCAGAAAGCCACGGCUAACUACGUG
Molecule: ribosomal RNA, 497 nt
Filed under: uncultured bacterium
Lineage: Bacteria
Description: partial 16S ribosomal RNA
Rfam family: Bacterial small subunit ribosomal RNA
Source: RNAcentral